CCUCUCACUGGCUCCAUUCUGACCCUGGAUCCUACUCCCACUUAAAUUCGGUCCGGUUUCUAUGUUGGACACAGUGUGACCCCUAUGGUUUCUACUUGGGACCCCAUGUGAAGUCGGACCUGUCUGAUGUGGGACCCAGGGGGGUAUGGAACCCAGUCUGAGGCUGGAUCUAGUCUGAGGCGGGACCCAGCGUGAGGUGGGAACCAGCGCGAGGUGGGUCCCGUCUGAGGCAGGACCCAGUGUGAGGUGGGACCCAAGCGUGAGGUGAGACCCAGUGUGAUGUAGGACCCAGUUGGCGGUGGGACCUCGUUGGAGGUAGGACCCGGUCUGAGGUGGGAAUCAGUCUGAGGUGGGACCCAGUCGGAGGUAGGACCGGGGCUGAAGAGGGACCGGCUCUGAGCUGGGGGCCCGUCUGACGUAGGACCCAGGCCUGAGGCCGUCCUGGUUUUGAAGUCAGCCCGGACGCCGGCCGACGGUUUCCACACCCAGCCUGGAAACCGAAACGCUCACGUGAAGCCUGAAAGCCCAUGAAGGGAACGACUGCGACGCUGGGAUCCCGAGACGGGGCCUCCCCGCCUGGAGAGGCAGCCAGCGAGCGGCAGGUUCGGCGGCUGGGCAGCUGAGAGAGUCAUUACUGUGAUCUGUGGGACAUUCUAUACAUGAGCUGAUACUUCUCUUCCUUCUCCUCAGUCUCUAAGAAUGAGUCCAGACCCAUUCUGGGACUCAGAGAACUCUUUCUGGACCGUCUCUUCCCUCUCACCGCCAGCCACCAUCUCCCAUCCAUCAGUUUGAAAAGAAUAUCGUUAAAUGUCUUAGCUACUGCUGGUUGAGCUGCAGCUCAGGAAGCUCUCAUCUCUCCUCUUUGACAACGUUAUUCAAGAAAUGUUGUCUCUCUGUAAUAAAUGUUUUACCUCCCCUGC
Long non-coding RNA from Herpailurus yagouaroundi (jaguarundi), 920 nucleotides. RefSeq lists it as uncharacterized. The transcript has 5 exons. NCBI's taxonomy places the organism in Eukaryota, Metazoa, Chordata, Mammalia, Carnivora, Felidae. The record is from RefSeq and is a predicted model, not a curated record.